Molecule: ribosomal RNA, 946 nt
Filed under: Myroides odoratimimus
Lineage: Bacteria; Pseudomonadati; Bacteroidota; Flavobacteriia; Flavobacteriales; Flavobacteriaceae
Description: bacterial SSU rRNA
Rfam family: Bacterial small subunit ribosomal RNA
Source: RNAcentral
GCAANCNUNCGGAUUAUUGGGUUUAAGGGUUCGUAGGCGGCUUUGUAAGUCAGUGGUGAAAUUUCCUAGCUUAACUAGGACACUGCCAUUGAUACUGCAGAGCUUGAAUAAUAUGGAAGUAACUAGAAUAUGUAGUGUAGCGGUGAAAUGCUUAGAUAUUACAUGGAAUACCAAUUGCGAAGGCAGGUUACUACGUAUUUAUUGACGCUGAUGAACGAAAGCGUGGGGAGCGAACAGGAUUAGAUACCCUGGUAGUCCACGCCGUAAACGAUGGAUACUAGCUGUUCGGAUUUCGGACUGAGUGGCUAAGCGAAAGUGAUAAGUAUCCCACCUGGGGAGUACGUUCGCAAGAAUGAAACUCAAAGGAAUUGACGGGGGCCCGCACAAGCGGUGGAGCAUGUGGUUUAAUUCGAUGAUACGCGAGGAACCUUACCAGGGCUUAAAUGUAGAUUGACAGAUUUGGAAACAGAUUUUUCUUCGGACAAUUUACAAGGUGCUGCAUGGUUGUCGUCAGCUCGUGCCGUGAGGUGUCAGGUUAAGUCCUAUAACGAGCGCAACCCCUAUUGUUAGUUACCAGCGCGUAGUGGCGGGGACUCUAGCAAGACUGCCGGUGCAAACCGUGAGGAAGGUGGGGAUGACGUCAAAUCAUCACGGCCCUUACGUCCUGGGCUACACACGUGCUACAAUGGCAAGUACAGAAAGCAGCUACCUGGCAACAGGAUGCGAAUCUCCAAAGCUUGUCUCAGUUCGGAUUGGAGUCUGCAACUCGACUCUAUGAAGCUGGAAUCGCUAGUAAUCGGAUAUCAGCCAUGAUCCGGUGAAUACGUUCCCGGGCCUUGUACACACCGCCCGUCAAGCCAUGAAGCUGGGGGUACCUGAAGUCGGUGACCGCAAGGAGCUGCCUAGGUAAACUAGUACUAGGCUAUCUNNAGGGGGGCCGCGNCNC